AUGGCACUGACGGAUUUCAGAUCUGAUGCACGAUUUUCGAGAAAAAGGAAUUUUAUCGAAAAGAGGAUUUUCGCUCUUUGCUGUUCUUGCAUAAUGAGACUCCUCGUGCUCUACGUUUGUGACCUGGGGUUAGGUGAGAGUUGUUUCUGGUACCUACUGGUGGUAGGGAAUUCAAAUUUGAAUUUGGAUUAAAGGUUUUAGGGUUUAUACAUAGGUCUGUGUAAUUUAUGGAUUAGUUGGAGAGCAGAUGGGUUUGGUCGCAAAUCGGCAAGUAAAUCGGAUGAAACGAAAUCGUAGUUUCAUUGCCUUCGUCGUGCUGAACGCGAUGGUGCAAUCCGUUCGGAAAUCCGAUGAACGGAUUGCCGGAUAUUGCAUGAAGUUCGCUAAGGGGUCGAGAGUGGAAAAUCGGGAAAUUCGCAAAGUCGUAAUAUUUUAUGUACUGUAUCGCGCGAGAUCGAUUGUGGAGGUGUAAAAGCGCGAGAGUUACACAUUGUGAAGGACUAGGUUUGAAAUUUGUAGUUUCGGUGGACUUUGUG
RNAcentral lists this long non-coding RNA (536 nucleotides) under Ananas comosus (pineapple). RNAcentral's name for it is "long non-coding RNA (ACOM_LNC035019)". The record is from RNAcentral. Lineage: Eukaryota; Viridiplantae; Streptophyta; Magnoliopsida; Poales; Bromeliaceae.